AUUACAACGGAGAGUUUGAUCCUGGCUCAGGAUGAACGCUAGCGGGAGGCUUAACACAUGCAAGCCGAG
This 69-nucleotide ribosomal RNA is filed under the name Mariniphaga sediminis. RNAcentral's name for it is "partial 16S ribosomal RNA". It matches the Rfam family "Bacterial small subunit ribosomal RNA", at positions 1 to 66 of the family's 1533-position model. Lineage: Bacteria; Pseudomonadati; Bacteroidota; Bacteroidia; Marinilabiliales; Prolixibacteraceae. The record is from RNAcentral.